GAUGCGGUGGCCUAAUGGUUGGUGCGUUGGACUCUGGAUCGAGCGGUCCGGGCUUGAGCCCUGGCCUGGAUCA
Molecule: non-coding RNA, 73 nt
Organism: Desmophyllum pertusum
Lineage: Eukaryota; Metazoa; Cnidaria; Anthozoa; Scleractinia; Caryophylliidae
Source: the annotation of a GenBank genome assembly